GGCCCUGGUUUCCAAUGCAGUCCUGGAUGAACCUACAGUAUUUUAAUUAUACGAUCAGGUUCUAUUGCUAGCAAUGAUGGACUGGAAUGAAAGGAUUACAAAUAUGUGUGAGGUUAAAUGGAGCCUAGUGAUCAAGGA
Molecule: small nucleolar RNA, 138 nt
Filed under: Erinaceus europaeus (western European hedgehog)
Lineage: Eukaryota; Metazoa; Chordata; Mammalia; Eulipotyphla; Erinaceidae
Description: small Cajal body-specific RNA 17 (ENSEEUG00000023800.1)
Source: RNAcentral